AUGCGGCAAUUAAGUGAUCAUGGAAAAAAAAUGAAGAAAGAAAAGCAGGAACGAUUACAUCAACUGGAAAAGCAAAAACAAGAGGCAGAAUAUUUGAAGCAAGAGAAAGAAAAACUGAAAGCAGAAGCAGAGAGUUCGGAGAAUGUGGCAUUGGAGAAAUACCGAUUGAUAGAGGAGCAAGAGAAGAAGAAAGUAGCUGAAGAAGAAAAAAAUGCUCAAAUGCAAGAAUUUUCAAGUUUUUCUCGGACAUUGAUCAAAAUCAUGAUGAAAUGUAAGGAUUAUAUUUAUUUGUUCUCUCAUGGACUGCUUUUGUUAUUUCAAUUUUCCAUAAAUGUAUGCUAUUGAGUCUCGCUCUUUUUCAUGAUAACUUCAUGUUUCAGUAACUCAAUUUCGUAGACUUAGGUCUCUUUUCCCAUGGACAGUAAAAUAUGCACCAAAAAAAUUCUCUUUUUCAAGUUUGAGUGUCAAUUUUUCCCUCUAAAUGUUAAUUUAAUGCAUCAUUUCACUAUUGUUUUCCCCCAGAAUUACUAUCGAUGAAGUUCAAGCUUAUGGUGUGUUUGAUACCAACAAAGAUGGGGUAAUAUCAGAUGAGGAAGUACAGGUAAAGUGUUUUAAAUUUUACUUUGGCUACUUUCUUUGUUUGAGCUGAAUUGUAUAUUUACUAAUGCUUCGGAUAAAUUCAUUAAACAUUUA
RNAcentral lists this long non-coding RNA (693 nucleotides) under Bemisia tabaci. Its description in RNAcentral is "lncRNA ENSSSA3NGG012143". The record is from RNAcentral. Lineage: Eukaryota; Metazoa; Arthropoda; Insecta; Hemiptera; Aleyrodidae.